Molecule: ribosomal RNA, 229 nt
Filed under: uncultured bacterium
Lineage: Bacteria
Description: partial 16S ribosomal RNA
Rfam family: Bacterial small subunit ribosomal RNA
Source: RNAcentral
CGAGUAGGCGGCGAUACAAGUCUGGUGUGAAAUACUUCGGCUCAACCGAAGAAACGCGCUGGAAACUGUAUUGCUUGAGUUUAGGAGGGGGAGCUGGAAUUCCUGGUGUAGGGGUGAAAUCUGUAGAGAUCAGGAAGAACACCGGAGGCGAAGGCGAGCUCCUGGCCAUAAACUGACGCUGAGGCGCGAAAGCGUGGGGAGCGAACAGGAUUAGAUACCCUGGUAGUCC